Molecule: long non-coding RNA, 252 nt
Filed under: Lathyrus oleraceus (garden pea)
Lineage: Eukaryota; Viridiplantae; Streptophyta; Magnoliopsida; Fabales; Fabaceae
Description: Pisum sativum (pea) long non-coding RNA (PSAT_LNC000168)
Source: RNAcentral
AGGGUAGUGUUUGAAGUCUUUAAUUGAUAGAGAUUAGGUUACUAAUAAAAAGGUUAGUAAAAGGAUUUUGAGAGUUUUUACGUAAAACAUAAUUUUGGAUGAAAAGAGGAAGACGCAAGGGCUAGGGCAUAUGAAGAACUUCAUUGUUAGAGCUUGAAGUUGCAUCUUGCGGGAAAAUAUAAGAUAUGUGGAGAUUACUCCUAAUAGGGUGUAUUUUUCAUGUUUGGGUAGAGGGAUACCCUUAAUCCCAUU